UGGGGAAUAUUGGACAAUGGGGGGAACCCUGAUCCAGCCAUGCCGCGUGUGUGAAGAAGGCCUUAUGGUUGUAAAGCACUUUAAGCGAGGAGGAGGGUACUGGUAUUAAUACAACCAGGUACUGGACGUUACUCGCAGAAUAAGCACCGGCUAACUCUGUGCCAGCAGCCGCGGUAAUACAGAGGGUGCGAGCGUUAAUCGGAUUUACUGGGCGUAAAGCGUGCGUAGGCGGCUAAUUGAGUCGGAUGUGAAAUCCCCGAGCUUAACUUGGGAAUUGCAUUCGAUACUGGUUAGCUAGAGUGUGGGAGAGGAUGGUAGAAUUCCAGGUGUAGCGGUGAAAUGCGUAGAGAUCUGGAGGAAUACCGAUGGCGAAGGCAGCCAUCUGGCCUAACACUGACGCUGAGGUACGAAAGCAUGGGGAGCAAACAGG
Molecule: ribosomal RNA, 430 nt
Filed under: Pseudomonadota bacterium
Lineage: Bacteria; Pseudomonadati; Pseudomonadota
Description: Proteobacteria bacterium partial 16S ribosomal RNA
Rfam family: Bacterial small subunit ribosomal RNA
Source: RNAcentral